GACGAACGCUGGCGGCGUGCUUAACACAUGCAAGUCGAACGGAAAGGCCCCCUUUUGGGGUACUCGAGUGGCGAACGGGUGAGUAACACGUGAGUAACCUACCCUUGACUUUGGGAUAACUUCAGGAAACUGGGGCUAAUACCGGAUAGGAGCUCCUGCUGCAUGGUGGGGGUUGGAAAGUUUCGGCGGUUGGGGAUGGACUCGCGGCUUAUCAGCUUGUUGGUGGGGUAGUGGCUCACCAAGGCUUUGACGGGUAGCCGGCCUGAGAGGGUGACCGGCCACAUUGGGACUGAGAUACGGCCCAGACUCCUACGGGAGGCAGCAGUGGGGAAUAUUGCACAAUGGGCGGAAGCCUGAUGCAGCAACGCCGCGUGCGGGAUGACGGCCUUCGGGUUGUAAACCGCUUUCGCCUGUGACGAAGCGUGAGUGACGGUAAUGGGUAAAGAAGCACCGGCUAACUACGUG
RNAcentral lists this ribosomal RNA (465 nucleotides) under uncultured bacterium. Its description in RNAcentral is "partial 16S ribosomal RNA". It matches the Rfam family "Bacterial small subunit ribosomal RNA", at positions 28 to 507 of the family's 1533-position model. The record is from RNAcentral.